This 440-nucleotide ribosomal RNA is filed under the name Camaena gabriellae. RNAcentral's name for it is "partial large subunit ribosomal RNA". Lineage: Eukaryota; Metazoa; Mollusca; Gastropoda; Stylommatophora; Camaenidae. The record is from RNAcentral.
CAAAAACAUAACUACAUGAUUUACAUGUAGCGCUUUCUGCUCCAUGAAAAAUUUAAAUAGCUGCAGUACUCUGACUGUGCAAAGGUAGCAUAAUAAUUUGGCUUAUAAUUGAAGUCUAGAAUGAACGAAACCAUGGGGAGUAACUUUAUUUAAUAUAUAAAUAGAAAUUACUUAGUACGUGAAAAUACGUACAUAAAAAAUAAUAGACGAGAAGACCCUAAAAAUUUUAAUAACAAGAAACAAAACAUUUUUGCUGGGGCGGCAUAGUAACAAAAAACUUACAAAAUACAUACUAGAAGCACACGCUGAUUGAAUAAAUUACUUUAGGGAUAACAGCAUAAUUAAAUAUAGUUUGUGACCUCGAUGUUGGACUAGGUAAAUGAAACCUAGAAGGUAUACAUUAAUGCUCUGUUCGAGCACUUUCACCUACGUGAUCUGAG